RNAcentral lists this ribosomal RNA (460 nucleotides) under uncultured bacterium. RNAcentral describes it as "partial 16S ribosomal RNA". It matches the Rfam family "Bacterial small subunit ribosomal RNA", at positions 338 to 795 of the family's 1533-position model. The record is from RNAcentral.
CCUACGGGGGACAGCAGUGAGGAAUAUUGGUCAAUGGACGGAAGUCUGAACCAGCCAUGCCGCGUGCAGGAAGACGGCUCUAUGAGUUGUAAACUGCUUUUGUACAAGGGUAAACCUGAAUACGUGUAUUCAGCUGAAUGUACCGUACGAAUAAGGAUCGGCUAACUCCGUGCCAGCAGCCGCGGUAAUACGGAGGAUCCAAGCGUUAUCCGGAUUUAUUGGGUUUAAAGGGUGCGUAGGCGGCUUGAUAAGUUAGAGGUGAAAUGUCCGGGCUUAACUCGGGAACUGCCUCUAAUACUGUUGGUCUAGAGGGUAGCUGCGGUAGGCGGAAUGUAUGGUGUAGCGGUGAAAUGCUUAGAGAUCAUGCAGAACACCGAUUGCGAAGGCAGCUUACCAAUCUAUAUCUGACGUUGAGGCACGAAAGCGUGGGGAGCAAACAGGAUUAGAUACCCGGGUAGUC